UGAAUUGACGGGGCCCGCACAAGCGGUGGAGUAUGUGGUUUAAUUCGAUGCAACGCGAAGAACCUUACCUGGUCUUGACAUCCCGGAGACCCUUAGGAAACUAGGGGUGCUUCCAUCUGGAAGAAUCUGGAGACAGGUGCUGCAUGGCUGUCGUCAGCUCGUGUCGUGAGAUGUUGGGUUAAGUCCCGCAACGAGCGCAACCCUUGCCUUUAGUUGCCAGCAGUUCGGCUGGGCACUCUAAAGGGACUGCCGGUGUUAAACCGGAGGAAGGUGGGGAUGACGUCAAGUCCUCAUGGCCUUUAUGACCAGGGCUACACACGUACUACAAUGGCCGAUACAAAGGGCAGCGACACUGCGAGGUGAAGCCAAUCCCGUAAAAUCGGUCUCAGUCCGGAUUGGAGUCUGCAACUCGACUCCAUGAAGUUGGAAUCGCUAGUAAUCGUGGAUCAGCAUGCCACGGUGAAUACGUUCCCGGGCCUU
RNAcentral lists this ribosomal RNA (480 nucleotides) under uncultured Desulfobulbus sp. RNAcentral's name for it is "bacterial SSU rRNA". It matches the Rfam family "Bacterial small subunit ribosomal RNA", at positions 907 to 1382 of the family's 1533-position model. The record is from RNAcentral. Lineage: Bacteria; Pseudomonadati; Thermodesulfobacteriota; Desulfobulbia; Desulfobulbales; Desulfobulbaceae.